AAACUUCUGGGCUCAAGAGAUACUCCUGCCUCAUCCUCUCAGAGUGCUGGGAUUACAGGCCUGAGCCACCAUGACCGGCAUGAAGUUAUUUAAUGGCAAAAUACAGUCAACCAAGAAGUAAAUCAAAAUAAGAAACACAGGAAUAGGUAAAAUCAUUUCAGCACAUCCACAAGUGUGCCAUAUGUUCCUUGGUGUAUGAAGUGACACAUGUAGGAUAUGGUGUUGCUGUUCCAAUGUGGUUCUCUAAUUCUGGUUACUCCAUUGUAGCCCUUGAAACUAAUAUGUGUCAAGUUUUUAUUUUCCACACUAUUUGUCAUCGAAUAUUAGUGUAACUUUUCUCAAAAAUGUUACUCAACAACAUGCCUGUAUAUACCUCACCUCUUCUUUCUCCAACAUCUUAGUAAAGCUGUUUGGUGAUUGACUGUGGCUCUCCCCAUAAAGAGAUCAUCUCUAGACUGCCUUUUGGUUAAUAAAUAAGACAAAAUUACUUAGACCUAAUUUGAGAAUCAAGGAUUCCCUCUGACCAUUAUUUUGUAUAAUGCCUCUUUCUUUCACCUAACAUUUACCCCUCACUGCCUUGUUUUGCGCACCUUCUUGGUUGUAGCCCUACCAAACAUUGGCAUUGGGGAUUCGAUUGGAGUGGAACGUACGGAUUUCAUGGAAGUGCUGAAAAGAGGAACUAACAAGGGAACAUCAUUGAUCUAUGUAGCAUGGGGUAGGGACAUGAAUUGAUAACUUGGCUUUCAGAACCAAACCCAAGAGUCUUAAUUAUGAGAGAAAAUGCUCUGCUGUGGUUCUCCAAAAUGGUUGGAAGCACCUGUAAUUUAACUGACUGCAGAAUUUGCCUUUUCCUACUAGGUGGCUUUGAAAAUAAUUUUGUCACCUGAAGUUAAUGUAUUUUUCAGCAAUAACCAUAGGGCAUGUUCCCCAUUCUUGCAUCUCUUAUAAAAACAGCUAAUCUUUAGAUAACUUCUCUAAUCCCAUUCUUACCACUGUCAUAGAAGCAUGCCAUCUGGUUAGAGUCAUGGGCAAAUUGGACAGGAUAUAUUGAUUUUCCUCUGGUAGUCCCUAUAGAAAUUUUGUCGAACUGGACUGUGCACCCUGACUUUCAAACUUGGUGGAAGAUUGUAUUUAAACACUGUUACUUCGCACCUUGAAAUAUGCGUAGGUCCCAUGUGUACAAGGGGAUACAAUAAUAAACAUGUUAAGUGAAAAAAAA
This is a non-coding RNA of Microcebus murinus (gray mouse lemur), 1219 nucleotides long. NCBI's taxonomy places the organism in Eukaryota, Metazoa, Chordata, Mammalia, Primates, Cheirogaleidae. The record is from RefSeq and is a predicted model, not a curated record.